Molecule: ribosomal RNA, 483 nt
Filed under: uncultured bacterium
Lineage: Bacteria
Description: bacterial SSU rRNA
Rfam family: Bacterial small subunit ribosomal RNA
Source: RNAcentral
AUGAACGCUAGCGGCAGGCUUAACACAUGCAAGUCGAGGGGCAACACGGGUAGCAAUACCUGGUGGCGACCGGCGCAAGGGUGCGUAACGCGUGAGCAACAUGCCCUAUACAGUGGGAUAAUCCAGGGAAACUUGGUCUAAUAUCCCAUAGUAUUUAGAGGUGGCAUCACCACUAAAUUAAAGCUUCGGUGGUAUAGGAUUGGCUCGCGUGACAUUAGCUGGAUGGUGGGGUAACGGCUCACCAUGGCGAUGAUGUCUAGGGGUUCUGAGAGGAAGACCCCCCACACUGGGACUGAGACACGGCCCAGACUCCUACGGGAGGCAGCAGUGAGGAAUAUUGGACAAUGGAUGGAAAUCUGAUCCAGCCAUGCCGCGUGCAGGAAGACGGCCCUAUGGGUUGUAAACUGCUUUUAUAUGGGAGCAAUAAGGUUUACGCGUAGACCGAUGAGAGUACCAUAUGAAUAAGCAUCGGCUAACUCCGUG